GAUGAACGCUGGCGGCGUGCCUAAUACAUGCAAGUCGAGCGAACAGACGAUGAGCUUGCUCCUCUGACGUUAGCGGCGGACGGGUGAGUAACACGUGGAUAACCUACCUAUAAUACUGGGAUAACUUCGGGAAACCGGAGCUAAUACCAGAUAAUAUAUUGAACCGCAUGGUUCAAUAGUGAAAGACGGUUUUGCUGUCACUUAUAGAUGGUUCCGUGCCGGAUUAGCUAGUUGGUAAGGUAACGGCUUACCAAGGCAACGAUGCGUAGCCGACCUGAGAGGGUGAUCAGCCACACUGGAACUGAGACACGGUCCAGACUCCUACGGGAGGCAGCAGUAGGGAAUCUUCGGCAAUGGGCGAAAGCCUGACGGAGCAAUGCCGCGUGAGUGAUGAAGGUCUUCGGAUCGUAAAGCUCUGUUAUUAGGGAAGAACAAAUGUGUAAGUAACUAUGCACGUCUUGACGGUACCUAAUCAGAAAGCCACGGCUAACUACGUG
Molecule: ribosomal RNA, 497 nt
Filed under: uncultured bacterium
Lineage: Bacteria
Description: partial 16S ribosomal RNA
Rfam family: Bacterial small subunit ribosomal RNA
Source: RNAcentral